ACAACUCUAGAGAUAGAGUCUUCCCCUUCGGGGGACAAAGUGACAGGUGGUGCAUGGUUGUCGUCAGCUCGUGUCGUGAGAUGUUGGGUUAAGUCCCGCAACGAGCGCAACCCUUAAGCUUAGUUGCCAGCAUUAAGUUGGGCACUCUAAGUUGACUGCCGGUGACAAACCGGAGGAAGGUGGGGAUGACGUCAAAUCAUCAUGCCCCUUAUGAUUUGGGCUACACACGUGCUACAAUGGACAAUACAAAGGGCAGCUAAACCGCGAGGUCAUGCAAAUCCCAUAAAGUUGUUCUCAGUUCGGAUUGUAGUCUGCAACUCGACUACAUGAAGCUGGAAUCGCUAGUAAUCGUAGAUCAGCAUGCUACGGUGAAUACGUUCCCGGGUCUUGUACACACCGCCCGUCACACCACGAGAGUCUGUAACACCCGAAGCCGGUGGAGUAACCAUUUAUGGAGCUAGCCGUCGAAGGUGGGACAAAUGAUUGGGGUGAAGUCGUAACAAGGUAGCCGUAUCGGA
RNAcentral lists this ribosomal RNA (518 nucleotides) under uncultured bacterium. RNAcentral's name for it is "bacterial SSU rRNA". It matches the Rfam family "Bacterial small subunit ribosomal RNA", at positions 994 to 1509 of the family's 1533-position model. The record is from RNAcentral.